GUGCUCGCUUUGCAGCACAGAUACUAACUUGGAAGAUACAGAGAACUCAGCAUGGCCCCGCGCAGGAUGACACGCAAAUUCGUGUGAAGCAUUCCAUAUUUUU
This 103-nucleotide small nuclear RNA is filed under the name Camelus dromedarius (Arabian camel). The record is from RNAcentral. Lineage: Eukaryota; Metazoa; Chordata; Mammalia; Artiodactyla; Camelidae.